GAUGAACGCUGGCGGCGUGCUUAACACAUGCAAGUCGAACGGGAAACCUUUUAUUGAAGCUUCGGCAGAUUUAGCUGGUUUCUAGUGGCGGACGGGUGAGUAACGCGUGGGUAACCUGCCCUAUACAGGGGGAUAACAACCAGAAAUGGUUGCUAAUACCGCAUAAGCGCACAGGGCCGCAUGGUCCGGUGUGAAAAACUCCGGUGGUAUAGGAUGGACCCGCGUUGGAUUAGCCAGUUGGCAGGGUAACGGCCUACCAAAGCGACGAUCCAUAGCCGGCCUGAGAGGGUGAACGGCCACAUUGGGACUGAGACACGGCCCAGACUCCUACGGGAGGCAGCAGUGGGGAAUAUUGCACAAUGGGGGAAACCCUGAUGCAGCGACGCCGCGUGAAGGAAGAAGUAUCUCGGCAUGUAAACUUCUAUCAGCAGGGAAGAUAGUGACGGUACCUGACUAAGAAGCCCCGGCUAACUACGUG
This 478-nucleotide ribosomal RNA is filed under the name uncultured bacterium. RNAcentral describes it as "partial 16S ribosomal RNA". It matches the Rfam family "Bacterial small subunit ribosomal RNA", at positions 28 to 507 of the family's 1533-position model. The record is from RNAcentral.